UAAGGUGGUUAUACUGGAUGUGCUCCACCUGUUCCCAUUCCGAACACAGAAGUGAAAUUAUCCAAGGCCGAUGGUAGUCCUUUUGGGCGAGAGUAGGUAGCCGCCUUAC
This 109-nucleotide ribosomal RNA is filed under the name Candidatus Yanofskybacteria bacterium CG10_big_fil_rev_8_21_14_0_10_46_23. Lineage: Bacteria; Candidatus Yanofskyibacteriota. The record is from RNAcentral.